Small nucleolar RNA from Malania oleifera, 107 nucleotides. The record is from RefSeq and is a predicted model, not a curated record. Lineage: Eukaryota; Viridiplantae; Streptophyta; Magnoliopsida; Santalales; Ximeniaceae.
UAUCCAUGAUGUGGACAUAUGGUCAUCAGGUCCUUGAAUCUUUCCCAGCAAUCCUAGAAUGUCUCAUCACCUUUUUGCAUAAACUGACUGAUCUGCUCCUAUAGGUA